Cercocebus atys (sooty mangabey) is the source of this 610-nucleotide long non-coding RNA. RefSeq lists it as uncharacterized. NCBI's taxonomy places the organism in Eukaryota, Metazoa, Chordata, Mammalia, Primates, Cercopithecidae. The record is from RefSeq and is a predicted model, not a curated record. The transcript is spliced from 3 exons.
CCACAGGGAUUAUUAAUUCUCCUCUUCGAGUCGCUGGAGGUGAUUUGUCUGUGGACACUGGGCUUGGAAGUGUUCCCUGCACAAGGAGAUGGUGAUUUCUCUUAGAACUUUACUUCCGCUCCUUGUGACCACAGGCCCUGGAGCAUGGAGGCUUGGUGCAGUAAUUAGGACUGAGAACCGGACCCGGGAGCUGUUCUGGGGAGAAAGUGGGCGGUCCAUCCCCUAAGGUCCAACGGAUUGGAAAGGCAAACACAGGAGAAACUAGUAUUUCUGUGUGCUUAGAGUGAUGCUUUGUGUGUCAUCUUGUCUGGAAGUCCUGGAAUAUUAUUUUUGCUAGUAAUUUGCUUUAAAAACCCUCUUUUCCAGAGGUCAAGGCUUCUUUUCCAAUUAGAAAUAAUGUUUACUGGAUAUCUGCUGAAUACAAAUCAAUACAUGUUUCCUGUGGAAAAUAUGAAAAAUUAUAAAGAAGAAUAAAGCACCAUCCAUAAUUUUACUCUACAAAGCCAACAGACAUAAUUUUGAUUUUAUAAUUUCAGUAUUUUAUGUGCACAUUUGUGUUGAAUAAAAGUUAAAUCAUAUUGAGCUUAUAUCUCUUUAAUCCGUUUUUUUU